Molecule: ribosomal RNA, 700 nt
Filed under: Salmonella enterica
Lineage: Bacteria; Pseudomonadati; Pseudomonadota; Gammaproteobacteria; Enterobacterales; Enterobacteriaceae
Description: bacterial SSU rRNA
Rfam family: Bacterial small subunit ribosomal RNA
Source: RNAcentral
GGCUCGAUGUCUACUUGGAGGUUGUGCCCUUGAGGCGUGGCUUCCGGAGCUAACGCGUUAAGUAGACCGCCUGGGGAGUACGGCCGCAAGGUUAAAACUCAAAUGAAUUGACGGGGGCCCGCACAAGCGGUGGAGCAUGUGGUUUAAUUCGAUGCAACGCGAAGAACCUUACCUGGUCUUGACAUCCACAGAACAAUCCAGAGAUGGAUUGGUGCCUUCGGGAACUGUGAGACAGGUGCUGCAUGGCUGUCGUCAGCUCGUGUUGUGAAAUGUUGGGUUAAGUCCCGCAACGAGCGCAACCCUUAUCCUUUGUUGCCAGCGAUUAGGUCGGGAACUCAAAGGAGACUGCCAGUGAUAAACUGGAGGAAGGUGGGGAUGACGUCAAGUCAUCAUGGCCCUUACGACCAGGGCUACACACGUGCUACAAUGGCGCAUACAAAGAGAAGCGACCUCGCGAGAGCAAGCGGACCUCAUAAAGUGCGUCGUAGUCCGGAUUGGAGUCUGCAACUCGACUCCAUGAAGUCGGAAUCGCUAGUAAUCGUGGAUCAGAAUGCCACGGUGAAUACGUUCCCGGGCCUUGUACACACCGCCCGUCACACCAUGGGAGUGGGUUGCAAAAGAAGUAGGUAGCUUAACCUUCGGGAGGGCGCUUACCACUUUGUGAUUCAUGACUGGGGUGAAGUCUCAAAGGGGGAAACCA